Non-coding RNA from Myotis davidii, 75 nucleotides. Lineage: Eukaryota; Metazoa; Chordata; Mammalia; Chiroptera; Vespertilionidae. The record is from Rfam.
GGUGGUCCUCGGGUGAUGCACCCCAGAAUCAGGCUCCCUUUUCUCUGAUUUCCAGUGCAUCACCUGAGAACCACA